CAUUCUUACUUGUUUGUUUUAACUAAUCCAGAUAUUUGAGUUUUAGCAAUCUGGGAGCUUUGAUUGGAGGUUGUAUUCGACUCUUUUUAGUUCUUGUUUCGGUUUUGGGGUUUGAUGCUGGUUCAAGUUUGGGUUCGAGCUUGGAGGAGGGCAUUUAUCUAUCAAUUUAGCUAGAUCCUUGCAGGAGCUAGGAGACAAAUUUGAGGAUUUCUAUCCACGUGAACACAAUGGUGCUGAAGCUGAUUAUCAUGGAGAGCGCCAGUGAAAAGGAUGAGUCCAGUAACAAAAUGCCCAAUUUUGUGUAUAUUUCAAGAGAAAAGAAGACUAUAGCCCACAACUACAAGGCUGGUGUGCUCAACGUUCUGGUAAUAAUGUUUAUAAUUGUUGUUGAUCAUACACAUAUAUUGGUAAACAAAAAGUUGUUGACCAGUUUACAAGACAUCAGACUCUAAUGCUUUCCAGGUAGCUUAUCAAGCAAAGUCUGAUGUUUCUUCACUUUAUAAUGAUUAAAAAAUUUCUUUAUGGCACAUUGAUUCACUGUUAUUGUUUCAUCUGUUAAGGAUUCACUUAGAUUGUUUUUAGAAGAAAUCUGUAAAAUUGUACCAGAUGGUUGUUUGGUAUUCUUUCCUAGCCAUAAAUUGAUGGAAAAACUUUCAAAUGGCUGGCAGGAAACUGGUCAGUGCAGUUUUGAUGGGCUCCUGUUUUAAUUGGAUUUUCAGUUUUGGUAUGGCUUGAAAUUAAAGUUUGAUGUAUAUUGACAGGUUUUAUUAGACCCUUCACCGCCUCAUACUAUUUUACACAAUUUAUUUCAUUUUAUAUCUUGUACUCUUUAAGUUCUAUGCACACAACCACAAGAUAUGAAUAUAUAAGAAUGUUGUUAUAUAUUAUAUGCAUGUGUAGCUAGCAUAGACAAAAUUCAUUUAGCUACUUCAUUGCAUGCAAUACUUAUCUGAAAUUUGGAUCUGUCAUAUUUGGAAUAAAUGAAAUAUCUACUUUUGU
This is a long non-coding RNA of Daucus carota subsp. sativus, 999 nucleotides long. RefSeq lists it as uncharacterized. The transcript is spliced from 3 exons. NCBI's taxonomy places the organism in Eukaryota, Viridiplantae, Streptophyta, Magnoliopsida, Apiales, Apiaceae. The record is from RefSeq and is a predicted model, not a curated record.